Apis laboriosa (Himalayan honeybee) is the source of this 809-nucleotide long non-coding RNA. RefSeq lists it as uncharacterized. The transcript is spliced from 5 exons. The record is from RefSeq and is a predicted model, not a curated record. Lineage: Eukaryota; Metazoa; Arthropoda; Insecta; Hymenoptera; Apidae.
UAAAGCUGCACUGUGACUUUGGUAUAUGAUGGCCCCUGUAAAAUUGAUUGCCGCAGCUAACACGAAAACAGGCAUCCAACGACCAUGCGAUGCAGUCACUAAUUCAGCUGUUAAUGGACCACAUAAAAUACCCGAUAAAGACAUACAAUAGUAUUGGAAACUGCAAAUGUGAUUCCCGCAUGAUUUGGAGCUAUAUCUGCGUGAUUACUAAGAUGACCAGCAGAAUUACAUGCACAAAGUCCCAUAGAUAUUGAUACAAAGCUAUUGAUAAAUAUGAUUUUAAGUUAUGUUAUAAAAUUAAAAUAAAAAAUUAUUUUAUAACUAAUGACUAAUUUAAUUAUAAGACUGGCCACCUUUUUUGUAUGAGAUUAUCAGCACUAUGUCCAGCAACUGUAAUGAAAUAAUUGAAAUAUUUAAUUUUUCAUAAUUUUUUUAUAAAAUAAAAAUAUUGUAUAAUACAUACCAAUACCAACAAGAGAGUUCACAAUAUAUGGAAGUGCUGUUAAACUAAUACUUUCUUUAUUAGCAGAAAGAUUUCUAGCCAAGUACAAAUAAUGGGAUUUCAUCUUGAGAAUUAGUUUCAUGAUAUAAUAAUAACCAUAAAAGUGUCCAUAUAAUACCAAUUAUACCAAAUAAAUAAAAUCCUGUUUGCCAUGACAAAUGAGGACACAACUAUGCAACAACUUGUCCAACAGAGCCAGCUGCUACAAGAUAUCCAAAUGCUCUAGAUCGUUCCUCUACAGGUACAUUAUGUGCAAAUAAGUGAAAAAUAACUGGUAAACCUAAUAACAAUUUAGAGAAAAAUAUAU